Long non-coding RNA from Papaver somniferum (opium poppy), 537 nucleotides. RefSeq lists it as uncharacterized. NCBI's taxonomy places the organism in Eukaryota, Viridiplantae, Streptophyta, Magnoliopsida, Ranunculales, Papaveraceae. The transcript is spliced from 3 exons. The record is from RefSeq and is a predicted model, not a curated record.
AUUCAUGCAUUGAGUCUUAAUUCCCUUACAUACAGAUUUGAAGGAUUCACUUUAGUACAAAAAGCAUGGGGUUAUCAUUCACCUAGUUGUUGGUUAUUUGUUGAGAAAAAGAUGUGUAUCUUGGUGGUCGGUCUUUGAUGUUGCCGGUGAGACUGCUCAAGUUUGAAGAGAUUGUAUCACAAAUUCCUAUCACUGUUGUGGAGGAAGAUUAGAGAUCUCAAGGAAGAGAUUGUUCCCAUGGACCUGUUAUAUAUGAUGGUGAGUUUGUUUUUGAAGCUGCUCAGAUCUUUGCAUCGUUCAAUGAUAUAAUUAUGGUUGACUACUAAACCAUCCUAUGCACACCAUCCAUUAUGCAGCUAGAGCUUGGCCUGGUUGAAAUCUUUGUCAGUCUGUGCAGACUAUAGUGGCAGUCUUACUAUCAUGAAUGUUGGAUUUUCUGUAUUUUUGCCGAUGUGUACAUAGUUGUACUCUACUCUGAAUUAAAAAAUUUAAGAAGUGAAAAUUAUAUAUUCAUAUGGGUACUCUUUUUAUAGUUUU